AAAACAAUCAAAACGGACAACCGAGCAAAAAGUUAUGCUUGGUAAAAGUUUUGAAAAAUUACACUACUUUUCUCUGCGGUUUUUUCAAUAAAACCGCGGAGAAAAGGUUCCAGACCUAUAUAUAAACUCAUUCUUCCCCACAGGUUUUGUAAACCUACUUCAUUUCGCGAAAAAACUUCUUCAACAGCGGCGGUUUUUGGUAGUAAAAAUGGUUAAGAUUUAGUCGAAAAAUUGUCCAUUUUCACUGUAUUUUUGGGCAUGCAUUGUGUUCUUGAGCUUCAAAAUAGACUCAACAGAUCAUGGAAGAAUGGAAGUACUAGGGAGGGAGAUGCUUGGGCACUGCUCUUGUAACGCCCUGGUUACCCCAGAACAGUUACGGUGAACAGUGAACCGGAAAUUUGACUCGCUACCCGAGUCCUUUGGUUAAAAACGUGAUCUAGGUACUAUUAACAGGUUAAGGUGGAAAACCAAUAAAAAGGAAAGGGUACAUUUUAUUAAGUAAAUAAACUGCUCAUGAGCCUUUUAAAAUGUUUACAAGUAGUUUGUAUUACAAAAGAGUUGUUACAGUUCCAAAUAUACAAUCCCCGCCGGCCUAAGCGGCAAAAAUAGGGUAAACCCCUAGUCCCUCUGAGAACUCCUUGACCGUGGCAGUCAAGCGGCCCUGUAUGUACAUCACAUCGCCCAAGCUCUCCACUCAAGGCUGGCCAAGCUUUUCCUUCCCUUUACCUGCACCACAUAGCACCCAUGAGCCAAGGCCCAGCAAGAAAACAUAAUAAAACGUGAUCUAAUAUCAACAACGAUCGUAAUAACCAUUCAGGACUAUCAGUCCAACAAAUAGGUGACAAUAGCCAAAAGUCACAAUAAUGAGCAUCGCUCCCUCUAGCCAUGUGACGAUAGGGUCACCAGGGCUUAACUGAUAGAUGAUUCUUUCAUAAGUUCGUUCAGGACAGGUGCAUGGUGAUUGGUCACCAACAUAACCUUCCUCACGACUCUAGGGUCGAAACUAUGGACAACGUCCCUUAGCCACGUGACAAACAGUCACCGGGGUCAUACACCUUGGCUAUAAUCAUCUGGUCGUAGACCAGGCAAGCGCUUGUAAGUUCUUCGACCUUAGGGUCGGUCCCACAUUAAUGCCAUAUAGUCAUUCAAUGCGUGAUCAUCGACUUUAGAGUCGGUCCCUGACUAGUCAGUGUCUCAAACAGGUAACCAGCGUUCACUAGCAUUUAACAUGCAAUCCAUGUCCACAUAAAUCAACCAACAUGCCUCAAUAUCAAACCAUGCAUGUCAUAUACCUAUACAGGGUGCAACUGUAUUCAUACACUGUUUUCUUACUUCUGGUUCGAGUGAAUAAUAAUCCUUGACGGUCACCUGGUCAUAACCAAAUUAUAGAAUUUAUCAAUAAAAAUGAUAACUGAGGGUUCCCAAACCAAAACCCAGCCCCCGAGACAUCAAAUACUACCCAACCGGGUACUAGGUCCAAUCCCGAGGCCUAUGGCUUGAAUCCCCAAGCUAAAACCCACAUUUUAGCAAAAUUGGCCUUAAGGGCCGUGGCCCUCCCCUGCUGCGCCGCGGCGCGCCUCCAAACAGAGAGCCUCCCCAUCUCCCAGACGCCAAGGGCCGCAGCGCUCCCCUGCUGCACCGCGGCGCUCAGCCCAGAAUGGCUAAGUCGGCCACACGAACCAGUCUUUUUCCCUGAGCUCUUUCCUCUCAAACCAUCCCUUCAAACCCUCUCUAAACCUCUUCCAAACACACAAUUAAACCCCCAAAUAACACCCAUAGCUCACCCUCAUCAAACCCCAAUCAAAACAACAUAAAAACUCCCUUUAAUCCUCACUCCCCACAUCAAAAACAUGAAUUGAAAACUAUAAGCAAAACAGAGCACCAGCUGUAACUAAUGACCAAAACUCACCUUGAGACUAGCUUUAAAUCUCUCACACAGGCUAACACAAGUGCUCCAACCCAGCCUUAAGUUCCUCUAGCUUGAAUCACCACCAAGAACACAAAACCAUCAAAGAAAGGGUGAAGAAGAUGAAGCUAGGAGAAGGUACGGGAAUG
Humulus lupulus (European hop) is the source of this 2055-nucleotide long non-coding RNA. RefSeq lists it as uncharacterized. The record is from RefSeq and is a predicted model, not a curated record. The transcript is spliced from 3 exons. Lineage: Eukaryota; Viridiplantae; Streptophyta; Magnoliopsida; Rosales; Cannabaceae.